RNAcentral lists this long non-coding RNA (1391 nucleotides) under Pogona vitticeps (central bearded dragon). Its description in RNAcentral is "lncRNA (ENSPVIG00000024819.1)". Lineage: Eukaryota; Metazoa; Chordata; Lepidosauria; Squamata; Agamidae. The record is from RNAcentral.
AUGAGCAGCCCUAAGUAUGAGAAGCUUGAAGAGGAUGAGGAGCCUGGAGAUCAGAGUUCAAUCACCUCCUUAGCAGAACAAGACAAAAAGGAGUUUGAGCCUCUGAAAGGUCAUACUCGGACACAACCUGCUACAAGCUAUGGGUCAACUCUCCCAGCACCACCUGAAUGUAGUACACCUGAAAUAGGAUCCUAUCAGGACCCAGCCCUUGAGCCUCCUCGUGUCAUCGUCAGCCAACCUGUCCAGUUUGUUGAACAACCUGAAUACCUGUGCUACUCACUCUUAGCCAUGCUUUUCUGUUGCUUCCCACUGGGUAUUGUAGCCUUGAUUUUCUCCAUACAGACCCAAGGAGCAAACCGGAACCGAAACAGGGAAGAUGCUCGGCGCUACUCCAAUCGUGCACGCACCUUCGCCACCUUAGCCGUCGGGUUCGGCCUCGCAUCUUUGGUGGUAUUUAUCAUUGCAACGGUGGUUCAUCAUAACCAGACGCAAAACUCACCGCCACCAAACAGCCCCUGAGAAUGCUCAUAUCCUGAAAAAUCUACUCUUCUCUCCCUCUUCCGCUGUCAACUCAAGGAAGCCCAAGUGUGAUGUCUUCGUCUUUGAAUUGUCCCGUCAACUAAAAGGGCAUGCAACAGAGCUCAUAGAAAUGUGUGUGUAUGUUGUAUGCUUUCUGCAUACUUGACCUGACAACUAGCAAGGGAAUACAGGAAGUGCAAAGCAUUGCAACUGGUGUAACAGCUGAUGAUCUGAAUGCCCUACAUGGUGAUGACAUAGUUCUGAUGGUCCGAGUGAGGAAUUAUCACGAAUGACCCAUUCCCCUGGUACAAAAUAUCCCCAAUGGAAAUGCAGGAAUGAGGACAGGCACACUGGGUGGUCUCAAGGAUCAGAUAGGAAAUGUUGGCCCAUUUGUUAGCUGGACAAUGUCCAUUGUAGCUGCCAAGAUAUUCUUAAGGUUAAAACAUCAUGAUCCAGCUCCAUACAAUCAAGUUAUAGUUUCAGAUCAUCUUCCAGCUGCCCAUUUCCCCUCUGCCCAUUCCCUCUUUCAGAUGUAAUUCCUGUCCUAGACUUCCCCCCCCCCAUUUCCUUUUCUUGUUGUUCCUCCACCUUCUAAGCCUGCUUCCAGUCUCCUCUCGCCGGCUUUCCUGUGUGGACUUGCCAGCUAGACUGUUUCACAGGUGAAAGGAGAGACAUUCUUACACCACUAUUAUUUUCAUAAUAUGAGUUUCUGCCUACAUCCUGUUCUCACUCCCCUUUACAAAGGGGAUGGUAUUGUCUUCUGUCGUCUUUUAGUGUACAAUAAUCUCUCCUGCCUAUUUGAAAAAGAAGCAAUUUGUUAGCAUCUUCUUGUGGACAAUAAACAAGUAAAUAAACAAUUGUAAUUUAUGGUG